GACGAACGCUGGCGGCGUGCCUAAUACAUGCAAGUCGAACGCUUUUUCUUUCACCGGAGCUUGCUCCACCGAAAGAAAAGGAGUGGCGAACGGGUGAGUAACACGUGGGUAACCUGCCCAUCAGAAGGGGAUAACACUUGGAAACAGGUGCUAAUACCGUAUAACAAUAGAAACCGCAUGGUUUCUAUUUGAAAGGCGCUUUUGCGUCACUGAUGGAUGGACCCGCGGUGCAUUAGCUAGUUGGUGAGGUAACGGCUCACCAAGGCAACGAUGCAUAGCCGACCUGAGAGGGUGAUCGGCCACAUUGGGACUGAGACACGGCCCAAACUCCUACGGGAGGCAGCAGUAGGGAAUCUUCGGCAAUGGACGAAAGUCUGACCGAGCAACGCCGCGUGAGUGAAGAAGGUUUUCGGAUCGUAAAACUCUGUUGUUAGAGAAGAACAAGGAUGAGAGUAAAAUGUUCAUCCCUUGACGGUAUCUAACCAGAAAGCCACGGCUAACUACGUGCCAGCAGCCGCGGUAAUACGUAGGUGGCAAGCGUUGUCCGGAUUUAUUGGGCGUAAAGCGAGCGCAGGCGGUUUCUUAAGUCUGAUGUGAAAGCCCCCGGCUCAACCGGGGAGGGUCAUUGGAAACUGGGAAACUUGAGUGCAGAAGAGGAGAGUGGAAUUCCAUGUGUAGCGGUGAAAUGCGUAGAUAUAUGGAGGAACACCAGUGGCGAAGGCGGCUCUCUGGUCUGUAACUGACGCUGAGGCUCGAAAGCGUGGGGAGCAAACAGGAU
This 778-nucleotide ribosomal RNA is filed under the name Enterococcus gilvus. Its description in RNAcentral is "bacterial SSU rRNA". It matches the Rfam family "Bacterial small subunit ribosomal RNA", at positions 28 to 778 of the family's 1533-position model. Lineage: Bacteria; Bacillati; Bacillota; Bacilli; Lactobacillales; Enterococcaceae. The record is from RNAcentral.